GAUGAACGCUGACGGCGUGCCUAAUACAUGCAAGUCGAGCGAACGGACGAGAAGCUUGCUUCUCUGAUGUUAGCGGCGGACAGGUGAGUAACACGUGGAUAACCUACCUAUAAGACUGGGAUAACUUCGGGAAACCGGAGCUAAUACCGGAUAAUAUUUUGAACCGCAUGGUUCAAAAGUGAAAGACGGUCUUGCUGUCACUUAUAGAUGGAUCCGCGCUGCAUUAGCUAGUUGGUAAGGUAACGGCUUACCAAGGCAACGAUGCAUAGCCGACCUGAGAGGGUGAUCGGCCACACUGGAACUGAGACACGGUCCAGACUCCUACGGGAGGCAGCAGUAGGGAAUAUUCGGCAAUGGGCGAAAGCCUGACGGAGCAACGCCGCGUGAGUGAUGAAGGUCUUCGGAUCGUAAAACUCUGUUAUUAGGGAAGAACAUAUGUGUAAGUAACUGUGCACAUCUUGACGGUACCUAAUCAGAAAGCCACGGCUAACUACGUG
Molecule: ribosomal RNA, 497 nt
Filed under: uncultured bacterium
Lineage: Bacteria
Description: partial 16S ribosomal RNA
Rfam family: Bacterial small subunit ribosomal RNA
Source: RNAcentral